RNAcentral lists this ribosomal RNA (468 nucleotides) under uncultured bacterium. RNAcentral describes it as "partial 16S ribosomal RNA". It matches the Rfam family "Bacterial small subunit ribosomal RNA", at positions 28 to 507 of the family's 1533-position model. The record is from RNAcentral.
GACGAACGCUGGCGGCGUGCUUAACACAUGCAAGUCGAACGGAAAGGCCCUGCUUUUGUGGGGUGCUCGAGUGGCGAACGGGUGAGUAACACGUGAGUAACCUGCCCUUGACUUUGGGAUAACUUCAGGAAACUGGGGCUAAUACCGGAUAGGAGCUCCUGCUGCAUGGUGGGGGUUGGAAAGUUUCGGCGGUUGGGGAUGGACUCGCGGCUUAUCAGCUUGUUGGUGGGGUAGUGGCUUACCAAGGCUUUGACGGGUAGCCGGCCUGAAAGGGUGACCGGUCACAUUGGGACUGAGAUACGGCCCAGACUCCUACGGGAGGCAGCAGUGGGGAAUAUUGCACAAUGGGCGGAAGCCUGAUGCAGCAACGCCGCGUGCGGGAUGACGGCCUUCGGGUUGUAAACCGCUUUCGCCUGUGACGAAGCGUGAGUGACGGUAAUGGGUAAAGAAGCACCGGCUAACUACGUG